CACAGAAUGAUUACUGAAUGCCGUACGAGCAUCGCACGAAUAAGUGCGCACACACACACACACAGUCGUACUUAAAUGCACGCGGAGAGACGCCAAAUGACAACAAAAUGGAGCUGAUUAAACGAAUGCAACAACUACAGCGGCAGCAGCAGCAGCAGCA
Molecule: non-coding RNA, 160 nt
Organism: Drosophila virilis
Lineage: Eukaryota; Metazoa; Arthropoda; Insecta; Diptera; Drosophilidae
Source: RefSeq, a predicted model, not a curated record